GUUCCAUUAGCUCAGUUGGGAGAGCCCAAGGGAUAAAGGACAUCCCUGACUUUUAAUCGAGGGGUCAUGGGUUCAAGCCCCAUAUGGAGCA
RNAcentral lists this transfer RNA (91 nucleotides) under Lachnospiraceae bacterium A4. It matches the Rfam family "tRNA". Rfam says of the family: Transfer RNA (tRNA) molecules are approximately 80 nucleotides in length. Their secondary structure includes four short double-helical elements and three loops (D, anti-codon, and T loops). The record is from Rfam by way of RNAcentral. Lineage: Bacteria; Bacillati; Bacillota; Clostridia; Lachnospirales; Lachnospiraceae. RNAcentral also lists the same sequence under 1 other name.